UACGUAGGGGGCAAGCGUUGUCCGGAAUCAUUGGGCGUAAAGCGCGCGUAGGCGGCCCGGUAAGUCCGCUGUGAAAGUCAAAGGCUCAACCUUUGAAUGUCAGCGGAUACUGCCGGGCUAGAGUCCGGAAGAGGCGAGUGGAACUCCUGGUGUAGCGGUGGAAUGCGCAGAUAUCAGGAAGAACACCAACGGCGAAGGCAGCUCGCUGGGACGGAACUGACGCUGAGGCGCGAAAGCGUGGGAGCGAACAGG
This 252-nucleotide ribosomal RNA is filed under the name uncultured bacterium. RNAcentral's name for it is "partial 16S ribosomal RNA". It matches the Rfam family "Bacterial small subunit ribosomal RNA", at positions 524 to 776 of the family's 1533-position model. The record is from RNAcentral.